CAGCAGCCGCGGGAACACCAGCACCUCGAGUGGUCAGGAGGUUUAUUGGGCCUAAAGCAUCCGUAGCCGGUUGCAUAAGUUUUCGGUUAAAUCUAUGCGCUUAACGUAUAGGCCGCCGAAAAUACUGUGCAGCUAGGGAGUGGGAGAGGUACACGGUACUCGAUAGGAAGGGGUAAAAUCCUUUGAUCUAUUGAUGACCACCUGUGGCGAAGGCGGUGUACCAGAACACGUUCGACGGUGAGGGAUGAAAGCUGGGGGAGCAAACCGGAUUAGAGACCCGGGUAGUCCCUGUCUCUUAUAA
This 301-nucleotide ribosomal RNA is filed under the name uncultured bacterium. Its description in RNAcentral is "partial 16S ribosomal RNA". It matches the Rfam family "Archaeal small subunit ribosomal RNA", at positions 459 to 760 of the family's 1478-position model. The record is from RNAcentral.